RNAcentral lists this unclassified non-coding RNA (5124 nucleotides) under Bactrocera latifrons. Its description in RNAcentral is "uncharacterized LOC108971632, transcript variant X1". The record is from RNAcentral. Lineage: Eukaryota; Metazoa; Arthropoda; Insecta; Diptera; Tephritidae.
ACAACGAGCGGAAUACACAAUAAAAACUGUGUUAAAAUAAGAAAAAAUCUAUGAGCAUUUUUAAUAAUAUUGGAAAUAUUUAUCAAAAGCUAAAUUAACUAUAGUGAAAAAAUUGUAAAAAGGGGAAAACGGAAAAUAUUAACAUUUACAUGUUGAAUGAGUAAACCCAGUAAAGCGUGAAGAGUUUUUGUUUCUCAUUGCUACUGACUUGUACAUUUUUGUACGUUGUGCGGGUGGAUACAAACAAAAAUAUGUAUACAUAUUUAUAUACAAUUAAAUUACUUCAAUACCAAUUAUAUAAUAUUAGUGACGCGACCUAAAUAAAGUAUACAAAAAAUACCCGAAAUUUAAUUGGAUAUAUCCUAAUGUGUUUUACCACAAGCGCAAGUACUAAUCAAUAGCAUAUAGCCAUACAUAUGUAUAUAGUGUGUAUCCAGGAAUAUAUGCGAUGUACAGUUCAUAGCUUAGCCAAAGCGAAAUUUUUGUACACAAAAUGGGAAUAAAUGCAUAUGUAGCGGUUAUAUAGCCGAUUGAAGUGCAUUUGCCAAAUUUUAACCCAUUUAGAAUAAAGUAAAGAAUUCUUAAUUGAAUGGGAGUAUGGCCACGAUCAAUGCAAAUCCUAUCAGUAGCAGUUGCCAAAGUAUCACCUCGGCUGGCGGCCCGAGUGCUGGCAGUUUGGGUACGAUUGUUAUUGGCAGCGCGACACCAGCCCAACAACGUUCAACAAGCCACUAUGUCAACGGUACUGGCAGUUUGGGUCGUCUUAAGUAUCACAAUAAACACAAGAGUCUGGAUGCCAGUGAUGAGGAGCUCGAUUAUUCGCAGAUGUCACAGUCAACGCAUGUCAUUGGACGUGUCAGAUCGGAACGUUUUUUAGCAACGAAACCCGAUGAAGAUCGUCGUAGACGUACCAUUAUCAUUGAAAAGAAGAAUGACUCGUACGGCUUCACACUGCAGAGCUAUGGCAUUCAUUAUAAGAAGGAUCAAGAAGUAGAAAUGAUCACUUAUGUCGAUUAUGUGGAAUAUGAUGGACCGGCUUAUAAGGCCGGUAUGCGUGAAGGUGAUGUUAUACUCUCGAUAAACGGUAGUGAUAUGGAGAAAGCUGAUCAUAAGACAAUUGUCGAUUUUAUAAAGAGCUGUGAUACGCGCAUGCGUAUGGUUGUGCUUUUUGAAGACUGUGUGCGUAAGGUGGAUCUCCACAUGCGCUAUAUACAAUUACAAAACUUAUUGCACAGCAAAAUGAAUGAACUGGAGCGAAUUUGCCUGCGAGAACGUGAACUACUCGAAGGCAAGUGGAAGACACAUAGCUUACCAGCGCGCAAAAAAGCCAGCACGUCACCGACUGACGCCGAAAGCCGUACAUCGCCAACAGAUGGUGAAAAUUUGCCGUACUAUCGACCGGCACUUUCCACCGAAGAUGUUCCCAGCAUGGCAAGAUUUCAGUCGCAACAGCAGGCUAUCAUACCGCCACCAGCGCAAUUUACACUCACCUAUCAUUACUUGGAUCCGACCUAUCGUUAUGUAAUGAAACCGGUCACAUCCAAUAGCAGCGGCGAGCAUUUAGCUACCUCCAGCUGUGGUAAUGAAGGCAUACAGCGUAGUCCAAGUGAUCAGCACUUUAUUUUACGUCAUACAGAAUCGGUUGACACGGCCACAGGCUUGGCGAGUCUUUCCCAUCGCAGCGUCUUGAGUCAAGCACAGAGCGGAGCCAGCGCACAAGCUCCAGUACCGCCACCGCGAACAUGUGAAAAGCAUAAGCCGCCAAAUAAACAGCACUCAGUGGAACAACAGCAUUACCAACAACAACAACAACAGCUGCAGCAGCAGCAACAUCAACAAACCACAACGCCAGUUAUGUCACAAAAGGCACACAAGUCCUCAAAGCAUUGUUAUGGCCAUUCGUGUAAUCCCUGUAUCGGUCACUUUCGGUGGAAAUCGGCAGAAAAAGCAGCGGCUACUGCUGCGGCUACAAUGGGUGCUGCUGGCGGAAUAACCAUCGCAGGGGGCAAUGGUAAUGGCAAUGGCGACAAUAUCAGUUUAGAUGCCUAUGAUCUGGCAAGCCCGUGCUGUGAUGCACAUUGUGUGCCAACGCGACGUCGUACACGUCAUAAGGAACAUACACACAAGCAUAAACAUCGUGAUCGCGAGCGUGAUUCCAAGGAACAUCCAUCUAGACCUAAGUCGCAGACUUCACACACCUCGCCGGGUAUCACGCGUCAUCACAUGCAUCAUCAUCAUCAUCAUACCCCACAAGAAAUCCUGCAACAGCAGCCACAGCAACAACAACAGCAGCAACAUCAUCACCACCAUCAUCUUUCACCACAACAACAUCAACAGCAACACCAACAUCUUCAACAGUCACAGCCCCAGCCACGCGGUAAUUGCGAUUCUCAAAAUGGCAGCAUGCGCUCUCGUUAUUAUGAUUUGACCACCGGUCUAAUGAGCCACUGCAGUCUACAUUCUUGUACAUCGAGUGAAUUCGCGCCAGCCGACUCUACUUCAUAUACCACAUCGCUUAGUACGGACACCUUGUACUGGGAUCCAAAGAGUGAGCAUUCAGCAUCUCGACAACACUCCACCAAAUCUCGCCAGUCUUACCAACAAUACCCGCAACAACAUGCACAACAGUCGCAACAACAGCCGCAUACACAACACCAUCAACAGCCAACGGCGCACGUACACGGCGUCUAUCAACAACGUUAUCACAUUACUGCCACACAAGUGCAACCUUCGCAAAUCUAUCCACAAGCCACAUACGUGCAAAAGCCGAAGUCUUGGGAUAAUCUGACAACUAAAGCGGUGGGCGGUUACGGCUUUGGCUAUGGCUACUUGGACACGGUGACCGUAAAACCCGCUAUGAAACUACAAAUCGCACAACAACGUCACUCCAUACCACGUAAAAAUCCCUACGGUCGCUACUCCACUUACACCGAUGUAGAAAACUAUGCGCCACCGCCAUCCCAAUUCGUCGAAGAACUUAUUACGACAACGACUACAACGAAGAUUAUGGCUAAAUCAACGGAAGAACUGAUUGCAGCACCGGUGCCGCAAACAACGUGUGAUUGUAUGACGAAGCAACAACAACAAGCCCUCAAGGCGGCACAAUAUCAAAUUAAUCAGGCGGCAAAAGUUUCGCAUCACAACAACUGUCAAAUGGGCUACUAUUCACAUUUACCACGUCCGACAUUGGACGCCGGCACUUCCACAGUGCAGACGACAACAACUGGUGUUUCGGGAGAUGUGGCGACAGUAUCCGAAGUGACACGAUUGUAGGCCACGCUCGUUUAGACCAAUCAAAUAGGAAAGUGAAAGUUGGUCUAAAUAAGAAAAGGGCAAACAAAAAUUUAGUUAAGGUCGGCCAAGGCAAAUUUAGAAGCUUAUUGAAGACUUUCAGAUGAAACUCUGGUGUUGUAGUUGAGUUCAGGACUACGGACUUAAUAUCGCCACAAUUUUGUAGAUACAAGCUAUGUGGCUUAAAUAAGAUAAUCUUAAGCACAAUAUAUUGGUGUGACUGGCAUUAUUCAAUUGGAGUUUUUUAAUUCCGAUAAUAGGUCUGUAAAAGCUGGACUUAAAAAUCAUCGGCGUUUUAUUUCUAUUUGUUGCUUAACAUCGCGCUUAUAUGGAAUAUAGAUUAAAAAUUUAUGAAAGCUAAGUUACACAGAAGGAACCAAACAAUUUUAUACUUCAAACUGCUGCAAGUCUGUUGAUAAUCUGCGGCAUAAGUGUGCUCUAAGGAAUAUACGAUAGGAGCGCAAUACAAUGGAACUAAAUAAAUAUAUGAAAUAAACGUGUAGAAUCAUUUCUAGGAACCCAUACAAAUUUGAAGAGGAAAAAAGUGCUAAAAAUUUUUUAUAACAAGGCAGUAAUACAUUAGUUCAGUUAAUACUUAGUUAGGUUACGUUGAAAUCCCAAAUCAUAGUUUUGAAAAAAUAUAUAUAUAUGGAAAAUAGUCCUUUUUUUAAAUUUUUUUUUGCCUUACUUGAGUGUCUAUGAAGAUAAUGCCAAAUUCCAUUUCGUACAAAGUUCUCUGCAUAAGUACUGAAGGAAAUUUUUAUUGAAGAAGGGUUUAAAAGAAAAGUAAACCGUACUUAUGACUAUGUUCAUAUAUAUGUAUGCAUAACCUUAGAUAUAAAACAUUAAUGAGACAAAGAAACUAUAAAACGUACAGCCAAAUAUAUUGACAUAAAUAUUAUAUUGCACAAUAUACUGAAAUUUUACUCAUCCGUUACAUACAACGAUAUUACAAGAAAACGAACCGUUACACGAGUCAAGUUUUAAGCAUUUUUUAGCGAAACUCUCGAACAGAUUUUAAAACGUAAAAAAAAAGACUCGAAUAGUAAACAAUGCAAUAACAAAUUUGUAGAAGUUUAUAUGUACUUAUAUGCAUAUUGUGUUUAUGUAUGCUUGUGUAGAGUAGAGCUGUGGGCAGUUUUUUAGGCCAACCGAAGUAAUAAUAAUAAUAAUAGAGUUCCGAAACAAUUACUUUAAAGUUCAAACAGCCAAUUUAAAGAUACAAUGUAUGCCAGCAACAAAACGAUUUCGUUCAUACAGUGAGGGAAAAAAUAGUUUUUAUAGUUUUUUUUUAAUUACGGUAACUUAACUAUAGUUAUUGUAUAUACAUACAUAUGUAUUACGUAUGAAAUGUUACAACUAGUGCUCAUAUUUAACCAAAGAUAAAUAAAAUUUUAACAUAGAAGUUCAAGAGUAACUUUAUAAGCCUGCACUAAACUGCGAAUACGUUUCAGUAGUAUUAACCAAAAAUUUAAAAUAUAUACAAUUUAUUUAAUAUUUUGCCCAUAAAUUAUAGCUAUUAUCUUUUUUAUUGAAGACUGAAUUGCAUGCCCAUCUUUAGGUCUACUUAAAACUACUAAGUUUAAAAUUUUUUUGUUGCAACAACUUUCUCAAGAUUUUAACAGAAUAAUUAAAAGCAAAUGUUUUUAUUUGAAUGAAUUGUGAUAUUACAUAGCACAUACUGAAAUAUUAUAUACUUGUAAACUUUCUAUGAUUAUGUGUCUAUAGAGGCGAGAUCUUCUUAAUCUUAUGUGUGAAGCAGCAAUUUCUGCAUUUAGUCUAACAAUAUAAGCACAAGAAUAUAAUAAUAUUGAGGAAUAAAAAAAAUAUAUA